ACAGCUCCUAUCUCACCCUUUCUCUUUCAUUCUCAGUAUCAAUUAUUCUAAAAAAACAUUGAUCUCUCCCCUAUCUCUAAGAAACUAAAACAAAAAGCAAAACUUGUUUCCAGAAUUGAAACUCAGAUCCCCCACAUCUCUAGCUCACAGUUUAAAAGAAACUCUCAUCCUUCUUUUUUUCUCUCAGAAAUUCCAAAUUGACCUUUUCCGGCCAAACCAAAUCCAAAUCAGUUAACCAAACAUUUUCACCAAGGGAAAAUCAAGGCUAAAAAUAAACUUUAAAACCACGAGUUUAUGUGGUGCGAGAAAGGGAAUGAAGUGGCUGUUAACGUUUGAGUUAGUGUUGACAAUUGAUUGAUUGAAAAAAAAAUUCAAGAAAAAUUGUUAAGGAAGCAAGCUGAACUCAUGAAGCGAGUUUUUGAUUUGCAGUACUGUUGAGAAAGGUGGUGAUAGAGGUUUCCCUUACUCAAAGGGUUUUCAUUUUGUUGGAGUUGGGUAUUGGUUUUGGUUUGUGUCGGGGAUUUAGAUGUUUGGGUAUCAUUUAGCACCUGAAAUUAAUCAUCAGUUCGAGGAGAAAAGAAUUCAAGAUGAAAUUCAGGAGCUUAACCCGUUAAUUGCAAAUUCAGGAGGUUACAGUCAUCCAUAAUACAAUCGGCUUGGCGGAAGCAUUCCAGGUUCAUUUCAGAAGCUAAUUUCCCAAACAUAUCGAGGAACGUCAGAUAACAGAUUUACUCCAAGAAUUACUAACAUCAUCAAUUGGAGCAUAUGCCUUGUGUACUUGGAUCACGCAGUUACUCCUGGUUGCCAGCAAAGGAUUGAGUGCUCAUUGAUAUCCCCAAAUUUUAUUUACAAACCCUGGUACAUUGCGGAUGAGUGAACUUCCGUUCGUCCUUCUGCAGUUUCUUCAAGCAACUACUUGAAAUGUUUUCUCUGCAGUUGGCUCACAAGUUUUAAUUUCAUGACUUGUGCUUUAGCUAGAUUUUAUCCAAUCAAUCAUGGUUUUGGUUUAGUACAAGUGUCAUCUGGUUGCUUCCGAAAGCAAUUAAGCAGCCAUAUACUCCGUAGGAUAAUUAUCAUUGCAUCCCCCUAUCAUGUUUAAAAUAUUUUGACUUUUUCUGCUAAAAUUCAUAUAUCUUAUACAUGUAUAGGAACUCCUGAAUACCAUGAUGCAUUUACUAAUUUCAUAGAUACAGUCAAUGGGAAACUUGGAAAUCCUGAAAUCAUAUUUAGUUGUCCUUGUGGUGAUAGUAAGAAUCUCGCUGUGCGAAUUCAUGGGGAGCCGGCUAGCUGCUAGCAUUUCUAAUUAUGUUCACCAUAGAGAGCAACACCCAGUGUAUAUCAGGUGGAUCUUUCAUGUUGCAGAUGAUGCUCUUAUUGAUCAGGUUCAUGAAAUUAGACACGCUCGAUGGGGAUUCGCAAAGCUGGUGGAAGAUACUGACAGCACUAGUUGAUCUUCUUAUCUAUUUGAGUUUAAGUAUUGAUUUUAACUGUACAUUUGUGAUAGCAAUUUGCACUACUUCUUCCAUAA
Long non-coding RNA from Papaver somniferum (opium poppy), 1528 nucleotides. RefSeq lists it as uncharacterized. The record is from RefSeq and is a predicted model, not a curated record. Lineage: Eukaryota; Viridiplantae; Streptophyta; Magnoliopsida; Ranunculales; Papaveraceae. The transcript is spliced from 7 exons.